AGGGUCUUGGCUGCAGGGACUU
RNAcentral lists this microRNA (22 nucleotides) under Monodelphis domestica (gray short-tailed opossum). RNAcentral describes it as "mdo-miR-7356b-3p". Lineage: Eukaryota; Metazoa; Chordata; Mammalia; Didelphimorphia; Didelphidae. The record is from miRBase by way of RNAcentral.